Molecule: long non-coding RNA, 769 nt
Filed under: Rattus norvegicus (Norway rat)
Lineage: Eukaryota; Metazoa; Chordata; Mammalia; Rodentia; Muridae
Description: long non-coding RNA NONRATT000032
Source: RNAcentral
UUUGCGGUUGCUUUGUCUUGUUUCGUUCGUGACUACUGUCACCCCAGCAAGUUCUGUUUUCUUGGUGAACCCUGAAACAGGCACCCAGGAAAAAAAAAUGUAAAGUCUGUUUGAAGGGACACCAGCUUUCAUCAUGAUCUCUGGAAGAGCUGGAAGGCUCUCCAAGUGGACUGAAGAUCACCCCGGAGGCUAGCGAUGGAGCUCAGGCUUUCCACUCAACAACUCCAUGCCACGGUUCCUGGAGUGGUGCAAAGAGGAAAGAAAUGCAGAAACCAGCAGAAGGAAACAGGAAGUGAUGGGCUGAGCUCCCAGCCACCGUGUGAGAAAGGACAAGGCUCAAAAGCAACAGGGCCAAGCAUCCAUGGAGCCAAAAUAAAGUUAAUUCUCAAAAGCUGACUUCCUACAGUAGUCCGUCAGAAGGACCGGAAGUUGCUAACACAACCUCCACUGAGAGUCGUUGUGUGCUGUUUCUGUUCCCACCCAUCACUGGUUUUACCCAGUCCCACUCAACUCACAAAGUUCCAGUGAGAUGAGACUUACCAACACGUGAUAAAGACACACGCUCCCGGUCUCUGCUGUCAUGUGUUCCUGCCCUUCAGUCGGUAUAUCUGGCAGUGGGAUUAGGCGUGCGUGCCACUCCAACAUCGUCUCCCCUUUAAGUAAUUCAGAGAUCCUAUAGAUGAGAACGUCAAGAUGUGAAGUUUACUUGAUGUUUGAACUUUCGUUUUUCAACUCUCUAAAGAAAAAUAAAGACAGUCUUUUCAUGAUU